ACGCUGGCGGCAUGCUUUACACAUGCAAGUCGGACGGCAGCACAGAGAAGCUUGCUUCUUGGGUGGCGAGUGGCGAACGGGUGAGUAAUAUAUCGGAACGUACCGAGUAAUGGGGGAUAACUAAUCGAAAGAUUAGCUAAUACCGCAUAUUCUCUGAGGAGGAAAGCAGGGGACCUUCGGGCCUUGCGUUAUUCGAGCGGCCGAUAUCUGAUUAGCUAGUUGGUGGGGUAAAGGCCUACCAAGGCGACGAUCAGUAGCGGGUCUGAGAGGAUGAUCCGCCACACUGGGACUGAGACACGGCCCAGACUCCUACGGGAGGCAGCAGUGGGGAAUUUUGGACAAUGGGCGCAAGCCUGAUCCAGCCAUGCCGCGUGUCUGAAGAAGGCCUUCGGGUUGUAAAGGACUUUUGUCAGGGAAGAAAAGGCUGUUGCUAAUACCGACAGCUGAUGACGGUACCUGAAGAAUAAGCACCGGCUAACUACGUGCCAGCAGCCGCGGUAAUACGUAGGGUGCGAGCGUUAAUCGGAAUUACUGGGCGUAAAGUGAGCGCAGACGGUUACUUAAGCAGGAUGUGAAAUCCCCGGGCUCAACCUGGGAACUGCGUUCUGAACUGGGUGACUAGAGUGUGUCAGAGGGAGGUAGAAUUCCACGUGUAGCAGUGAAAUGCGUAGAGAUGUGGAGGAAUACCGAUGGCGAAGGCAGCCUCCUGGGAUAACACUGACGUUCAUGCUCGAAAGCGUGGGUAGCAAACAGGAUUAGAUACCCUGGUAGUCCACGCCCUAAACGAUGUCAAUUAGCUGUUGGGCAACUUGAUUGCUUAGUAGCGUAGCUAACGCGUGAAAUUGACCGCCUGGGGAGUACGGUCGCAAGAUUAAAACUCAAAGGAAUUGACGGGGACCCGCACAAGCGGUGGAUGAUGU
RNAcentral lists this ribosomal RNA (920 nucleotides) under uncultured bacterium. RNAcentral describes it as "bacterial SSU rRNA". It matches the Rfam family "Bacterial small subunit ribosomal RNA", at positions 33 to 942 of the family's 1533-position model. The record is from RNAcentral.